This 1911-nucleotide long non-coding RNA is filed under the name Toxoplasma gondii VEG. The record is from RNAcentral. Lineage: Eukaryota; Apicomplexa; Conoidasida; Eucoccidiorida; Sarcocystidae.
CUUUGUGUCUGCUCGCUUGAAGAGAACAAUUCGCUGUUUUACCCUUCCCACCCACUUUCUGGUCUCCACAAUUUCAGAGGCGCGUGUCACGCAUGGGAGAUACCCCCCAUAUAUCUGCCACAUUUCCACCUUUAUCUCUUCGACGGGGAUUGCUGCGUCACCCAGAUCUCUCUGGGUAGCCGCGGAAACUCAGUCUUCUUUGCGGGGGUGUCUUUUUGCACCGGGGGACGUUUCGGUCUAACGGUCCCACAGUGGGUGAGGGGUCUGGUGGACAGAACUGAGGAGUCGCAGAAUUCAAAAUGGAAUUACCGGCUGCACGGCGAAAGAAUGCGGUAUCAUCAAAUCGAGCCGUACCCCACAGGGUCGGAGUGUAGGUGUUCCUCGGGUGAACUAGGACAGGACUCGGAGGUCGAGUUUUGCGUCGCAAGGGGGGAAGCGGGUGUUCCGGCGUGAUAAUGUUUGUCGUAUUGAUACGUGGUGUUCAGCUUUUCUAUUUCCACGGCAACUAUCAUCUUGGCUAGGCCCUCAUAACACAACAAAACUUGGAUUCGGUAAACAACGACCUACAAGUAGACACAGCUCCGGUUGUGCGUUGUCGCCCCUUGAAACCCAGACUUCACUCGUAUCCGCAGCAAAUGAGGACUGUGGCAUUGAUGCAGCAAGAUUUACUCGGUACUUUAGCGGAUCGAAACCGUGGCGGGAAAGGUAAUUAGAGCCUGAGAAGGGACGCCUCCUCUCACACUUGUCGCAAAGCCCCAACUGUUCACUCGCCACGCUUCGCUACGUUUUGUGUCUGCGUCAACGACUUGCUGCCUUACACUCACUGGUCUCUUUUUCGAGCGAAUGCCCCCCUUCGCUAAACAGUGUGUGUUUCUUCUGUGCCUCUCUUGUUUUUCCUUCCGGCAGCGAUAAAUUCCACGGGGUGUUGGAGCAACUCAAAUCUCAGUGAUAUAUACGUAUAUAGAGAGAGGAAGCUAGAGCCAAACAUAAAGACAAAGAUGUAGAUGAGAUAGAACUAGACGCAUGCUGCUGUAUAUAUCGAGUCGACUGUCGUUGUGCGUUUCAAUUGGUGGAUGAGCGAGCAGGUUACAGAUUUCGGAUUUUUCGUAGGUUGCUCGGUCCCUGAUGAAUCGAAGCCGCAGGCACACGUCUGCAGUCCCACGUUGCUAUCUGCACUGCAACACUUCUCUGCGCGCUACCGCUUUCGUGGAGCUUCGAGUUCUACCGGCCAUGAUGUUGUGUCACUGCUGCAUUGCACCGCGAGAUGGUGGCUUCUUUUGACCAGUUAAAAGUAGUCAAUAAUUGUAUUUGAAUACCGGUGGAACUUCGAUUAUCCGAUUUGUAGUCCCGAUAAACUACACGACAUUCAGAAUCGAAACGAUGGCAUCACCCGUCUUGACAGCGAGAAAAAACGACUACGCGGGACGGAAGGAGACGGUCGGAUACACGAAGGCACCGAAUACGUGUUUGUUAUGGCAAACUGCGGGAAUGCGUUCCUAGGCAACGCCUGGUGUGGCACCUGCCGAAUGGCCACGGCCGUGUACAUAAAUUUAGUAAUGCUUGUCAACGUUCUUGUUAUCUAUUUCGCCCAUUGCGUUGUGUGAAUGUGAGAAAAAACAAGAAAGUGGAGGUGCACGGUGAAACAUCUCCCUGCUGUUCCACGAGAGAGGAUUGCUCCGGUCAGCAAAACAAGCGUUUCGUGGAGAAUGACUUCUCCGACGGGACGGAGAGUGAUCGUAGUUUCCAUGACUAGGGUCCCUACGUAGAGCCACCAUGCGCGUCUAGGUUACUGUCCAGAUUCUGCAUCGUUGUUGGUGGCUGCUUGAUGGUUGUUUUCUCACGGUUUUCCUCAUAGGACAUUCACCGUGCUUACGCUCGUUCAGAAGAUCUACACGUAUCAAAUUUCAUCUA